AGCAGCCGCGGUAAUUCCAGCUCCAAUAGCGUAUAUUAAAGUUGUUGCAGUUAAAAAGCUCGUAGUUGAAUUUCGGGACUAAUAUGUCGGUCGUACUUUGUACGUACUAGCAUUAUUGGUUUCUCCCUUCUGACGAACCACGAUGUCAUUAAUUUGGUGUCAUGGGAAAUCAGGACUGUUACUUUGAAAAAAUUAGAGUGUUUAAAGCAAGCUCGCGCUUGAAUACAUUAGCAUGGAAUAAUGAAAUAGGACGUUUGAUUCUAUUUUGUUGGUUUCUAGGAUCGACGUAAUGAUUAAUAGGGAUAGUUGGGGGCAUUAGUAUUCAAUUGUCAGAGGUGAAAUUCUUGGAUUUAUUGAAGACUAACUACUGCGAAAGCAUUUGCCAAGGAUGUUUUCAUUAAUCAAGAACGAAAGUUAGGGGAUCGAAGACGAUCAGAUACCGUCGUAGUCUUAACCAUAAACUAAUGCCGACUAGGGAUCGGGUGAUAUAAUUUUUAAUGACUCAUUCGGCGCCUUACGG
RNAcentral lists this ribosomal RNA (520 nucleotides) under uncultured Glomus. RNAcentral describes it as "SSU rRNA". It matches the Rfam family "Eukaryotic small subunit ribosomal RNA", at positions 569 to 1093 of the family's 1831-position model. Lineage: Eukaryota; Fungi; Glomeromycota; Glomeromycetes; Glomerales; Glomeraceae. The record is from RNAcentral.